CCUACGGGAGGCAGCAGUAGGGAAUAUUGCUCAAUGGGGGAAACCCUGAAGCAGCAACGCCGCGUGGAGGAUGAAGGUUUUAGGAUUUUAAACUCCCUUUGGUAGAGAAGAUAAUGACGGUAUCCCACGAAUAAUCACCGGCUAACUCCGUGCCAGCUGCCGCGGCAAUACGGAGGGUGCAAGCGUUACUCGGAAUCACUGGGCGUAAAGAGUGCGCAGGCGGGCGUGUAAGUCAGAUGUGAAAUCCUGUAGCUUAAAUUCAGAACUGCAUUUGAAACUAUGAGUCUAGAGUGUGGGAGCGGUAGGUGGAAUGCUUGGUGUAGCGGUAAAAUGCGUAGAUAUCAAGAGGAAUACUGAUUGCGAAGGCGACCUACUGGAACAUUACUGACGCUCAUGCACGAAAGCGUGGGGAGCAAACAGGAUUAGAUACCCGUGUAGUC
Molecule: ribosomal RNA, 440 nt
Filed under: uncultured bacterium
Lineage: Bacteria
Description: partial 16S ribosomal RNA
Rfam family: Bacterial small subunit ribosomal RNA
Source: RNAcentral